CAAUAGCGUAUAUUAAAGUUGUUGCAGUUAAAAAGCUCGUAGUUGGACUUCUGCGGGUGGCGGCCGGUCGUGCUCGAAACGGGCGUGGACUUGGCGUGCUGCCCGCAUCUUUGGGGAGAUUGUGCGUGGCAUUAAGUUGUCGUGCAUGGGAUUCUCAUCAUUUACUGUGAAAAAAUUAGAGUGUUUAAAGCAGGCCUUUGCCUUGAAUACAUUAGCAUGGAAUAAUAAGAUAGGACCGUUGUCUAUUUUGUUGGUUUACAGAUGUCGGUAAUGAUUAAUAGGGAUAGUUGGGGGUAUUCGUAUUCAGUUGUCAGAGGUGAAAUUCUUGGAUUUUCGGAAGACGCACGACUGCGAAAGCAUUUACCAAGGAUGUUUUCAUUAA
RNAcentral lists this ribosomal RNA (382 nucleotides) under uncultured eukaryote. RNAcentral's name for it is "partial 18S ribosomal RNA". It matches the Rfam family "Eukaryotic small subunit ribosomal RNA", at positions 592 to 976 of the family's 1831-position model. The record is from RNAcentral.